AUCCAACGAUUGGGAGUGGCAUAUCAUUUCGAAAACGAAAUCAAAACAUCCAUUCAGAAUAUUUUUGAUGAAUCCGAACAAAAUAAAAAUGAAGAUAACGACGAUGAUCUUUGCGUUGUUGCUCUUCGUUUUAGACUAGUGAGACGACAAAGGCAUUACAUGUCUUCUGAUGUGUUCAAAAAAUUCACCAACGACAACGGAAAAUUCAAGGAAACUCUUACUAAAGAUGUUCA
This is a long non-coding RNA of Solanum tuberosum (potato), 233 nucleotides long. RefSeq lists it as uncharacterized. Lineage: Eukaryota; Viridiplantae; Streptophyta; Magnoliopsida; Solanales; Solanaceae. The transcript has 2 exons. The record is from RefSeq and is a predicted model, not a curated record.